UACGUAGGCAGCAAGCGUUGUUCGGAGUUACUGGGCGUAAAGGGUGCGUAGGCGGUUGUUUAAGUUUGGUGUGGAAUCUCCCGGCUCAACCGGGAGGGUGCGCCGAAUACUGAACGGCUAGAGUGCGGGAGAGGAGAGUGGAAUUCCUGGUGUAGCGGUGAAAUGCGUAGAUAUCAGGAGGAACACCGGUGGUGUAGACGGCUCUCUGGACCGUAACUGACGCUGAUGCGCGAAAGCUAGGGGAGCAAACAGG
Molecule: ribosomal RNA, 253 nt
Filed under: uncultured bacterium
Lineage: Bacteria
Description: partial 16S ribosomal RNA
Rfam family: Bacterial small subunit ribosomal RNA
Source: RNAcentral